AUUGAACGCUGGCGGCAUGCCUUACACAUGCAAGUCGAACGGCAGCACGGGGGCAACCCUGGUGGCGAGUGGCGAACGGGUGAGUAACAUAUCGGAACAUACCCUAGAGUGGGGGAUAACGUAGCGAAAGUUACGCUAAUACCGCAUACGAUCUAAGGAUGAAAGUGGGGGAUCUUCGGACCUCAUGCUCAUGGAGUGGCCGAUAUCUGAUUAGCUAGUUGGUGAGGUAAAGGCUCACCAAGGCGACGAUCAGUAGCUGGUUUGAGAGAACGACCAGCCACACUGGAACUGAGACACGGUCCAGACUCCUACGGGAGGCAGCAGUGGGGAAUUUUGGGACAAUAGGGGCAACCCUGAUCCAGCAAUGCCGCGUGAGUGAAGAAGGCC
This 387-nucleotide ribosomal RNA is filed under the name uncultured bacterium. Its description in RNAcentral is "bacterial SSU rRNA". It matches the Rfam family "Bacterial small subunit ribosomal RNA", at positions 30 to 416 of the family's 1533-position model. The record is from RNAcentral.